RNAcentral lists this ribosomal RNA (253 nucleotides) under uncultured bacterium. Its description in RNAcentral is "partial 16S ribosomal RNA". It matches the Rfam family "Bacterial small subunit ribosomal RNA", at positions 524 to 776 of the family's 1533-position model. The record is from RNAcentral.
UACAGAGGGUGCUAGCGUUGUUCGGAAUCAUUGGGCGUAAAGGGCGUGUAGGCGGUUUGUUAAGUCAUGUGUGAAAUCCCUCGGCUCAACCGGGGAACGACGCAUGAAACUGGCAAGCUAGAGUACCAAAGAGGGGGGUGGAAUUCCCGGUGUAGCGGUGAAAUGCGUAGAUAUCGGGAGGAAUACCAGAGGCGAAGGCGGCGCACUGGACGGCAACUGACACUCAACUGCGAAAGCGUGGGGAGCAAACAGG